Amborella trichopoda is the source of this 834-nucleotide non-coding RNA. NCBI's taxonomy places the organism in Eukaryota, Viridiplantae, Streptophyta, Magnoliopsida, Amborellales, Amborellaceae. The record is from RefSeq and is a predicted model, not a curated record.
GGUACUGAUCAAUGACAUAAUAACUGAGGCCUUUGUUUACUUGGUACUGAUCAGUAACGGCAAUAGACCCGACUUCAUUCGUAUGCUACAUUCUGCAUUUUUUCUCUCCUUCUAGUCUAGCCUGGUAAGAGGGAGAGAUUAGAGGGGAAAAAGAGAGUAGGUGGUAGAAAGAGUAGAGAGAGAAUGCUGGGCAGGAAUAGGUUCCUCUCGCUGCCCACGGUGUUCGUUGCAGCUGUGAUUGGAGUGAUUUCUGGAAAGGUCAUUUUUGGACCACCACUAGAUGAGUACUGGGGGAAGAAGCUUCGGGAAGAAGCUGAGAAGGAGAAAUCUGCAGGAUCGACUUAAUGCAAAAGGACUUUGCUCAGAGAGAGAGAGAGAGAGAGAGAUGAUACAAAGAAGCUGCCACUAGAGUUACUACUGACAAGUAGGAGAGAGGGAGAGCUUUCAGACUCUGAAGCUGCUGCAGAGUAACCCCUGGCAAGUAAGGGACCAGCUCUCUUUAUGGUAUUGAACUUAAAUUCUGUGCCUGAGAUUAUGAUACUUGCAUUGAGAUGAGUGUCCUGAGUUAUGACCUUGUUCACCUUGAUGCGCUUCCCAUGUUUUAUCUAAAAUAAGGAUCUGCUUUUGGCCCGAGUCUAUGGGUCUGGUUUUGCUGAGGCUGCAUCCCAUCCAAGAGGGAAACCAGGGCUCUGAUUCCCGGUUUUCUUCUCUAGCAUUUGUCUCCCUUUUUUUUUUCUUCUUUUUUUUUUUCUCUCUCUCUCUCGGAAGAAUGUCCCCGGCUGUUGAACAAUAAUUUUUUUCGAGAUAUCUAAUUCUAAUGAAAUAAUCAACCCU